RNAcentral lists this long non-coding RNA (278 nucleotides) under Ananas comosus (pineapple). RNAcentral's name for it is "long non-coding RNA (ACOM_LNC005702)". Lineage: Eukaryota; Viridiplantae; Streptophyta; Magnoliopsida; Poales; Bromeliaceae. The record is from RNAcentral.
CUCGUGGUAGCGUUUUUAAAGAAUAAAGGUUUUCGUGUAGGAAACAGUUUUCAAAAGAAUUUUCUGUAGAUUUAUGUUUAAAUAUUGAAUGUAUAACUGUGAUGUGAAUGAUGAAUGAAUGAUUGCAUAGUCGUUUCUAUAUUCAUUUGGUUGUGGUUGUACCUGAGAUACUUCUUGUACUUGUGCGACGCCGUGCAAAUACAGGGGAGACUCUGUCCUUGUGAACAGUGGAUUUUCUGUAUUUGUGGCGGAUCUGGCAUUCCCUGGGGUUAGAUUUU